CAGGACACAGCCCCAUCCUGGCUGCUGCGGGGAAAAUUAACUCCAUCCCAGACAAAACUAGCACAGUGUCAGAAUAUGAACUCCUUACAUGAAGGCAGAAACACAUGUCUGCUCAUUUCUAUCCCAGGGUAGCUGGCUGCUGAGCUGGCUUCAGUCUGUGGCUGUAACCCUCUUUGGCACAUGGCAUGCUGGCCUGGAAGCACUCUAUGUAAAUUGACGGCCCUUAAAGGUGACUUAGGAUUUCAUCCACUUGGAUCAGUCCUGUAUCUCCACAGACACGGACAGAAUAUAUGUAAAGUGCCUCUAUCUGUGAAUGUGGCAAUCCAUAUUUUACCAGGUGAAAAAUGAUUGUGACACACUGACUUUUCAAAAUAAUUUGUAUGUAAUCUUCUGAAGAAAGCCAGAUAUUUCAAGUGCAUACAGCUACUGACUCUUCUAGUGCAAAGAAGGGGAAAGGAAAGCGAGAAGGAAAAAGAAUAGAUACAGUUGUGAAUGCUGCCUUCAUACCUGCUAUCUUCCCCAAAUCAAGAAUCGGUGUACCUAAUGCCUCACGCCUGUCUUCUGUGAGGAAACUUCUGCUGGAAUGGAGAAAGAAACGUUUGCGUAAGAGCUUGUCACAAAGACAAAUGACCUUGAGAGGGCUGCUUUCCUGAUUGGCAGACUGACUCAAGAUGGUGCAUGCGGCUGCUUUACCUGCAGAGAGCUCUUCAGGGUUCUGCUGUUCUGUAACAGGGAGCUCCGCCAUAUAAGUAGGAUGAUAAAAGCAUGUUAUUGAAGAGGAAGGAUGUGACUAAGAAGAGAACCAUCUAGUUUGAAGUUCACAAAGACAGCAAGCAACAGCUAGCCGAACUAUCGAUUAAGAACCGUUCUGUGGUGAGUACACUGGGGCUCUCAUACACUGCGCUUCUCAUGUGAAGUGCAGAUUCUGUGACGCGUUCCUUCAAUUCUGAUUUGAGAGCAGCCCUGAUUUAAGGGGGAAAGAACAAAACCCGUGGUUGCCAAGGCCAGUGACAGCUGCUGUUCAGAGAAGUGCUGUCACCUGUACAGUCCUCGUGCACGUCCACAAGGCAGACUUGUGCGCCGUCAGGUGAGGAUGCCCCUUGUCAAGCUCAGAAGUCGAGGAAAAUUGUCAGAGUCCUCAGAGUCCUGCAUAUGCUUCCACUGGGAUCACACUUGGCUAAGAGUAUCUUCACUGAUGGAAGCCCUGCACCUGUGAAUCAAGUCCUGUAUCUUACUGGAAUCUACUUCCUAGCACGCUGUUAAGCAGAAAUGCCGGCUGAUGUGACAACUCCAAAUCCUUGUUGUCUGCAGUCAUUGAAAAUCCCAUUAUAUGUUUACUGAAACUUAAGCCGUACAUUGUAGUGUAUGAAAUCUUCAGCUGGAUUCCCUGCUUUUUAUAAUACGUUUCUUUGAAACACGACCAUGAUUCAGAGAUCAUUCUUUUUGAGGUUCCAGUCCAAAAACAUGGGAAAAUCCCUGUGCAAGAUCAAGAUUGUUGCUACAUACAUGGUGCCUUCGAUAUUGGCCAGUACACAGGUUGAACCAUAAAUCUCCAGACUUUAAAAAUAUGAACCGUUGGAGCCUGAGCCAAUUCUUCCUACAGUGAAACUAAGUCCCUUGGAAUUGCUGCAGCUGAAACUGUAGCGGACUUAUGAUCUAUUUAUUUACUAAGGAAGUAGAACAUGCUUAUUAGCUGCUGCACGUGUAUUUAUGAGGGAAGAGGACUGGGUUUUGUGUGGGGUUCUCUCUUCAGCUUGUCUAUAUUAAGGUGUGCUCUCAGGCUGACAGAGUAAAGCAUCAGUUUCUUGGUCUGUUGGGAGACACUGACCCAAGUGUUAGAGAAGAAUUUAAUAUAUUUUAAAAUGUUACCUGCAGAACAGGUACCCUAUCUAACCAGUUACAAACCCUGUCAGCUUAAAGAGUUGAAUGUCUUAAUAUAAAGGGUGCAGGAAUAGGGGAAGUAAAAGAAAGUUCCUUGCUAUAGCUUAGACUUGCAGAUGGAAUUUUGGGGAGGAAGAUCUCAUAUGGAGGAACAUAUGUUAAAGUGAUGAUACUUAUACUUAAGAACUCCUUUUAUAUGAAAUUAUAUGAGUAAUUUCAAAAUGCAGAUGACAGUUGAUGUGGGUACCUUUUAUGAAAUACUUCAGCUGUGCGCAGACUUUUGCUGUGAUAAAGUAAAUGUAUUUGGUUUCUGUUAAGGUGACUUGCAAGGAAAAAGGUGUGGGUCCCUUUUUUGCUUCCAUUUAGUAUGUACAAUUCCAUGGAAAUACUGAAAUUAUAACGUAGCUUUGAGGAUUGCAUAUGUUUCCCUAUUUGAAUCUUCUCUUUUUUUCUUCUUUUUUUUUUUAUUAGCAUUUUACUAUUUGGGUUUAUUUCUAUAUUUGGGGGUUUUACCAUAUUUGACUUUCUUAUAAGACCCUACAAUCUCCUUUCUUGGAUGAUUCUUGGGUACUGUCAAUAACUGCAGUAGGAGGUCACCAGUCUCAGACCAUUGCUUGGAAGGGGCUUCUGGGAGUCAUCACCUCCAGGCUCCUGCCUGAGCUGGUUACUAACACUAGAACUUGGUCCAGCCAGCCUUGUUUUGCUGAGUCUUGAACACCUGCAAGGUGUUCUUGCUGAGCAGCCUGUCCCUGUGCGGCAUUGCCUUCCUUGAUGUCUGUGUGGGUCUCCUUCAACUUGCUUAUUAUCAAUUUGAUAUGAACCUUGAGCUUUUGGAGGGGGAAAAAAGCCUCUCGCUGCUUACAUUUCAGUUCUGUUGCCCUGUUACCAAAAAGCUGACAAAAUCCUGCUGUGUAUUUUUUUCUUUUAGUGAAUCUUGCAGUAAAAUAAGGGAAGAAAAAAGUAAUAUCAGGGAAGAAAAAGAGUUAAUUCUAAGAAUUCUACUCUUUUAUGCAGGUCCUUUUUUAGGGAUAAAAAAGCAGAAAAAGGAAAACAAAAAGAUUUGUAGGCUCCUUUCUAAAUAGAAACCAAACUCUUAUUCCCUUACGUGCAAGGGACAUUCAUAGUGAAAACUUAUAUUUUGUGUUUUCAAGUAAUAGAUGCAAUAAAUAAACAGUUGCCAAAAAUAAUUUACAAAUUGGUCUGAAUAUUUAUCACUUUAUAUUUAGAGUAAGAGAGUUGAAAAUGGUAGUACAGAAAUCCCAGUGUAGUGGAUAAUCUGGUACCAAUUAGCUCUUUGAAAUCUUUUUACAUCUUCAAAGUGCAGUAUAUUAACUAAUCCGAACUGCAUCUCGUGGGUCCAGCAUUCUUACGGGAACUAAUUACUGGUGGCCUAAGGACACCUCACAGCAUGAGUUCUUUCCCAAAACUUAACUUAGGUACAACAAGUGAGUGUAUCUGGCUGGCUGACUUCAUGACAAUGAAUGCAAGCCUAUUAAGGCAUACAGAUGACUUCGGAAGCACAAUCUUUACCUGUCUUCACAAGGUAAUUUCAGUGACAUUGAUGGCUUUGAAAGGUACUCUGGGUUUAAAAGAAUUUCAUUUGUUAGAAUCCUGACCACCUGAGCUCGUAGUUUAAGAUAAAUUUUUACAAUUUCUCAGUCAUUCUGUAUCCAUAAAGACAAAUUAGGAGAAACUGCCAGUCAAGACUGUUUUUUAACACAUCAUUUGAAUGAAAAUGGGCUUCACCAAGUGGUGGCAGAUCACUCGGGUGCUUGUUUUGCAGUGCAGUCAUAGAGUCUGUCUCUGGUUUACUUUUUUGUUGAAGCCGAGAUCUCCUA
Non-coding RNA from Phalacrocorax carbo (great cormorant), 3719 nucleotides. NCBI's taxonomy places the organism in Eukaryota, Metazoa, Chordata, Aves, Suliformes, Phalacrocoracidae. The record is from RefSeq and is a predicted model, not a curated record.